RNAcentral lists this ribosomal RNA (403 nucleotides) under uncultured Alphaproteobacteria bacterium. RNAcentral describes it as "bacterial SSU rRNA". It matches the Rfam family "Bacterial small subunit ribosomal RNA", at positions 348 to 769 of the family's 1533-position model. The record is from RNAcentral. Lineage: Bacteria; Pseudomonadati; Pseudomonadota; Alphaproteobacteria.
CGCGCAGUGCGGAAUACUGGACAAUGGGCGCAAGCCUGAUCCAGCCAUGCCGCGUGAGUGAUGAAGGCCUUAGGGAUCUAAAGCUCUUUUGUCCGGGACGAUAAUGACGGUACCGGAAGAAUAAGCCCCGGCUAACUUCGUGCCAGCAGCCGCGGUAAUACGAAGGGGGCUAGCGUUGCUCGGAAUCACUGGGCGUAAAGGGCGCGUAGGCGGCCAUUCAAGUCGGGGGUGAAAGCCUGUGGCUCAACCACAGAAUUGCAUUCGAUACUGUUUGGCUUGAGUUUGGUAGAGGUUGGUGGAAUUCCGAGUGUAGCGGUGAAAUUCGUAGAUAUUCGCAAGAACACCGGUGGCGAAGGCGGCCAACUGGACCAACACUGACGCUGAGGCGCGAAAGCGUGGGAGC